This 426-nucleotide ribosomal RNA is filed under the name uncultured bacterium. RNAcentral's name for it is "partial 16S ribosomal RNA". It matches the Rfam family "Bacterial small subunit ribosomal RNA", at positions 354 to 796 of the family's 1533-position model. The record is from RNAcentral.
GUGAGGAAUUUUCCGCAAUGGGCGAAAGCCUGACGGAGCAAUGCCGCGUGAAGGAUGAAGGCCUAUGGGUUGUAAACUUCUUUUCUCAGAAAAGAAUUAUGACGGUAUCUGAGGAAUAAGCAUCGGCUAACUCUGUGCCAGCAGCCGCGGUAAGACAGAGGAUGCAAGCGUUAUCCGGAAUGAUUGGGCGUAAAGCGUCUGUAGGUUGUUUAAAAAGUAUUCUGUCAAAGAUUAGGGCUUAACCCUAGAUAGGCAGAAUAAACUUUUAAGCUAGAGUUUGGUAGAGGCAGAGGGAAUCCCCGGUGGAGCGGUGAAAUGCGUAGAUAUCGGGAGGAACACCAAAGGCGAAGGCACUCUGCUGGGCCAAUACUAACACUGAGAGACGAAAGCGAGGGGAGCAAAUGGGAUUAGAUACCCUUGUAGUCC